RNAcentral lists this unclassified non-coding RNA (218 nucleotides) under Preussia flanaganii. Its description in RNAcentral is "partial internal transcribed spacer region". The stretch from base 1 to 46 matches the Rfam family "Eukaryotic small subunit ribosomal RNA", at positions 1786 to 1831 of the family's 1831-position model. The record is from RNAcentral. RNAcentral also lists the same sequence under 1 other name. Lineage: Eukaryota; Fungi; Ascomycota; Dothideomycetes; Pleosporales; Sporormiaceae.
AAGUCGUAACAAGGUUUCCGUAGGUGAACCUGCGGAAGGAUCAUUAUCGUGGGGCUUCGGCCCUCUCGAGAUAGAACCCUUGCCUUUUUGAGUACCUUUCGUUUCCUCGGCGGGCCCGCCCGCCAAUGGGGACCACAAAAAACCCUUUUGUAAUACCUGUAAUCGUCUGACAAAACAAACAAAAAUUAAAACUUUCAACAACGGAUCUCUUGGUUCUG